AUUAUGUGGCUAUAACACUCAAGUGAUUUGUUUUAUAUUGUGGGCUUUUUGUAAACUGUUGGGGAUCAUCUAUUUGUUGUAAAAUCUGGAGUAACAUUGUUAAAAUGUAGUUACACUCAGAGUUGUCAAAUAUAGGGAACCUCAUGGAUGCAAA
Molecule: non-coding RNA, 154 nt
Organism: Ciona intestinalis (vase tunicate)
Lineage: Eukaryota; Metazoa; Chordata; Ascidiacea; Phlebobranchia; Cionidae
Source: RefSeq, a predicted model, not a curated record